RNAcentral lists this ribosomal RNA (630 nucleotides) under Lactobacillus delbrueckii. RNAcentral describes it as "bacterial SSU rRNA". It matches the Rfam family "Bacterial small subunit ribosomal RNA", at positions 56 to 655 of the family's 1533-position model. The record is from RNAcentral. Lineage: Bacteria; Bacillati; Bacillota; Bacilli; Lactobacillales; Lactobacillaceae.
UGCAAGUCGAGCGAGCUGAAUUCAAAGAUCCCUUCGGGGUGAUUUGUUGGACGCUAGCGGCGGAUGGGUGAGUAACACGUGGGCAAUCUGCCCUAAAGACUGGGAUACCACUUGGAAACAGGUGCUAAUACCGGAUAACAACAUGAAUCGCAUGAUUCAAGUUUGAAAGGCGGCGCAAGCUGUCACUUUAGGAUGAGCCCGCGGCGCAUUAGCUAGUUGGUGGGGUAAAGGCCUACCAAGGCAAUGAUGCGUAGCCGAGUUGAGAGACUGAUCGGCCACAUUGGGACUGAGACACGGCCCAAACUCCUACGGGAGGCAGCAGUAGGGAAUCUUCCACAAUGGACGCAAGUCUGAUGGAGCAACGCCGCGUGAGUGAAGAAGGUUUUCGGAUCGUAAAGCUCUGUUGUUGGUGAAGAAGGAUAGAGGCAGUAACUGGUCUUUAUUUGACGGUAAUCAACCAGAAAGUCACGGCUAACUACGUGCCAGCAGCCGCGGUAAUACGUAGGUGGCAAGCGUUGUCCGGAUUUAUUGGGCGUAAAGCGAGCGCACGCGGAAUGAUAAGUCUGAUGUGAAAGCCCACGGCUCAACCGUGGAACUGCAUCGGAAACUGUCAUUCUUGAGUGCAGAAGA